Harpia harpyja (harpy eagle) is the source of this 2832-nucleotide long non-coding RNA. RefSeq lists it as uncharacterized. Lineage: Eukaryota; Metazoa; Chordata; Aves; Accipitriformes; Accipitridae. The record is from RefSeq and is a predicted model, not a curated record. The transcript has 2 exons.
AAUCGUAUUUUCUAAUCAGAUUAAUCACCUAAAUUCAUUUAAAUAUCUUUUUUUUUCAGCUCUUCUUAUAGGAGAAACCCAGUCAACAGUUCCUCAGUAAUGUCCAGCUUCUCAGAGAGAUUAAGGAAUCGAAUGCAAAUAUUCUUCACUGCCUUGAAAUAAUUUGUACAAAACCCAUUAAUUCAAGUCCAUAACUGGGACAAACCCAGCAAUUUUUGGGGUUGAUUUUGAGUGGAUGGAGAAGUCAACAGCUAUCUCUACUUGCCAAGGAAAAGAGAAUCCCUUGAGUUUCCAGAACCUGCUGCCGGACACGCAGUCUUCUCUCCAGGUCGAAGGGUGCUCUGCAUGGGAAGAUAAUGGAGGUGCCGGCCAGACUGGAUGGAACUGAAUAAUUAAAGAAGCUUGUAAAUUAUGUUGCCAUCAAAUACUGGAGGAUACGGUCCUGCUGCAGGAAAAGAACCGCCUCUUGUGUAUCUGAGGCAUUUUUCAGAAGAUAUUAAGGAUGAAUAUUGGAUGCAUAAUUAGGUUUUCUUGAAGGUAUGUUGGUAUGCUAGAGGUAGAUCAUGCAAUAAUUUCUAUUAUCCCACAUUACCUAUACUUUGACUGAGCAGUUGUAUCACUGCUUGUAUUUCUGCAUCUCUAGUUGAUAUUUUUCUAGAAUAAAUAUAUUUCAGAAAAUGGAAGAUUAUAGUUGCUGCUCUCUACCUGCAACAUGCCUUUUUUUAUUUCUUUCUCUUCAUUUUAUUCCCUUUACAUAUUUUCAUCCCCCCUUUAAUUUAAUGGGAACCAUACACAGACGUCAGGCAGAUAAAUGUACUGAAACCUGGUUAGCAUUUAAUCUCUUUUUAGAUAAAUGCAAAUAUUGCUGUCGAUGGUACCGGAGCCUUGUCCAGCAGUCAUCUGAGGAACUUGCUCAUCCAUUUUUCAGUGUGUCCAUUACUAUCAGUCAUGAAGAUUGUGAUCCAGAAUAUUCGUUCUUGACGAAAACAAUAGAAUUAAGCCACAGGGCUUCAGAAAAUUGCUUUCAUAUUCAAGCAGUGCUACACAUAUACAGACACCUUGUUGAUGAUUUUCCUGCCCUGAAGAAAAUAUAUUGCUGCUGCCACAAACCUGUCUUUUGGCACUUUGUCACUUACAAGUGAUGAUAAAAUUGCAACAAAGAGACUUCUUUUUAAUCUCAUAGGUCAUCGUUUGUACUCUGGACAGUCCUCCCUUUGUCCUCUCAUUUAGUUUAGAUAAGGUGGAAAAAUCCUCUUAGUUGCUUCUAAACAUCUCUUAAAAAUACAAAAUCAAAAAAUUCAUCCUCGAUGUACCCUCAAAUUUUGAACAUGACAACUUUUUUCUUCAUGUUUCUCAUCUAGAUCAAAAGCUCUGUGUACAUUUUAAAUUUUUUUUUUUUUGGCAGCUGAAUUGCAGGCAGACUUUUUGAUUUAUAGAUUUGCAUCAAACUGUAAACCUUAAGAGAGACAUUUAAUCCCUUUAAUUUUGUGAGAAUCCCAGAAUCAUGUGAUAAUUGUAUUACUGAAUUUCUGACCUUUAUUAUAUCCAUUUGUUACUGCUAAAUGCUUAGCAUAAUUUUUUAAAUUCAGUCAUCCAGGCCAGCAAUUCAAAGUUGCAGAAAACUUGUGACAGUUAGAAAGACAGAAAAAUUCUGAAUAAAUCCACGUACAUGUUGAAUAUUUUGAAGCUAGACUUUCACACCAUUUGUACAAACAGCAAUUUAUCUGUCUACAUUCUGUUUGAUUUUUUUUUUUCUACAUUUGUUGGGAGAUUUUUCUCAUCUUUGUCAGCUUCCUCUUCUGCUUUAUAACUCAGUGUAGUCCCAAACCUCUCUGUGACAUAAAAAGUCCACUGCCAUGGGAUUUUGAUGCAGCAAAUGCAGCAUUUUGUCUCCUGUCUGCACUCUCUUCCAGUCUGUCUCUUCCAGUUGGAGGUAUGGAAAGAGCAAAGAAGAAAAAGAGGCUUAAAAUCUCCUGAAAAGGGCAGCAGAAGAAGGUACCCUUGCAGUAUGUUUUCCUCUGUCCACACUGUACAUCAGGCUUGUCUGCUCCUCUCCUGUACAUCUGACAACUGGUAUCCAGGAACAAGACAGGGUAGGAAUGAGGUGGAACCAAAACUGGUGUCAUACUUUUUAUGUCGGGGUUAAACAUACUGUUUAGAAAAAUUAAGGGGUGCUAUCAAUACCUAGGACAGUUUCUCUACCUUUUCUCUCUUACUUUGGUCCCCCUGAUUACCACCAAGCAGAGGCUGUGAAGGCAUUACACGUUCCCUAGGACAAAGGAGCAGUCAGCUCCUGCAAUCCCCAUUGCACACAAGGGCUUGAAGAGAAAGGAAGAGACAGACCCAGAAAUUCAAAGUUUACUGAUUUGAGAACAACCUCCAGAAGCCUAGGACAUUCACGGUUCCUCCUGUCAGAAAGCCAAGCAUUAAGAACUACAGAAAUGGACACUUAGGUGCCUAAAUAACCAUUAAAGGCCAAACUCUCUGUAAGUGCCCAUGGGAAACAAGCCUUAUCACUCUGGGUGAGGGGAUCCUUGCGUUCAAACUGAUCACUACUGAGGAUAAUAGACAGAUUACUCAUUUACCUGGAUUUGGCCCCUAUGAAUAGAAAAGUCCUGGGCCUCCUGCCAGUGUCACCUUCCCUUGUCUCAUAAAGUCACUGCAGAUUCACCGAUAUAAACUGGCAAAAGCAGAAUUAGCCACAAUGAGCAUUCUUGCUUCUUUGUGGGACUCUUCACAGAGUGGGCUGAACUUGAAGAUAACGGACCACCAUUGUCUAGUUUAAUUGUACUGCUUGAAAACCUUCACAAUAAAUAAAGAUGCAUGCCUAAA